UCUAGUGAUAGCAUGAAGCUUGGGACCUU
RNAcentral lists this non-coding RNA (29 nucleotides) under Rattus norvegicus (Norway rat). The record is from RNAcentral. Lineage: Eukaryota; Metazoa; Chordata; Mammalia; Rodentia; Muridae.